Long non-coding RNA from Neofelis nebulosa (Clouded leopard), 889 nucleotides. RefSeq lists it as uncharacterized. The record is from RefSeq and is a predicted model, not a curated record. NCBI's taxonomy places the organism in Eukaryota, Metazoa, Chordata, Mammalia, Carnivora, Felidae. The transcript is spliced from 2 exons.
GGGGUGAGGUAGAGACUCCAGCCCGAGGGCAGCAGAGGGACCCGGGCGUCGGGGCGAGCAGGUGUUGGGGAGGGCGGCGGGGCGCGCGGGCGCAGCGCGCGGGUGAGAUGUGGUCUAUAUUAGAGUAUCUAUAUAAAUAUAUAUUUCCCCGGUUUCUGUCCCUUUCCCCUGCCCCCUUUGCGACUAGGAUUGUACCCUCUCUGCCCCCGGCCCAGACCCAGCCCCUUCCCGAGUCCUUAGUGCAUGGAAUAAAGUGGUUAUUCAAUCCCCGUGUGUCCCCGAGCCAGGGGCCUGCCUUUAUCUCGGCGUCCACGCCCACUUCUGUCUCCCUUUCCUUCUGUUUCCCGCCCCUCCCCCCAGUCUUGCUCUCCAUGGCCCAAGCCCCGGGGCAGACAGGUAAGUAAAGAAGAGAGCAGAGCGGAGACUGAGGUUGGAGCUUGAAACCAGGUGGAAAACACUGAAAUAGGGUAGGGGGAGAAGGGGAUGGGAGCCUUUAAGAAAAAGUCGGAGAGAGAGGGGAGGGGGGGGGAAAAAAAAAAAAAACAAACCUGAAAUAAAAUCGACUCUGGUGGGAUUCGAACCCACAACCUUUGAAUCGCUCUUUCGUCACUAGAAGUCCAAUGCGCUAUCCAUUGCGCCACAGAGCCACCUGGCGGGCGGCGGCGUCUGACGGCUUACGGGCCUGCCUGGGAGAAGUAGCGGGACAAAAGCACGUGAGCCAGGUGGGAGUGCGGACGCGCACGGGUGGAAGAAACGGGGACAGAGAGCAACCGAAUGUGAGCGAGCACAGAGCUGCGGCUGCCCGCUUGGGGGAUGCUCCCGGCCCAGGCGCACCCCACUCCCAAAUGCGGCCCCAUCCAGGAAAAUAAACUUGUGUCGUUGUAAAACA